RNAcentral lists this ribosomal RNA (253 nucleotides) under uncultured bacterium. Its description in RNAcentral is "partial 16S ribosomal RNA". It matches the Rfam family "Bacterial small subunit ribosomal RNA", at positions 524 to 776 of the family's 1533-position model. The record is from RNAcentral.
UACGGAGUGUGCGAGCGUUACUCGGAAUUACUGGGUGUAAAGGGCGUGUAGGCGGGGGAACAAGUCAGAUGGGAAAUCCCGAGGCUUAACUUCGGAGCUGCAUCUGAAACUGUUCUUCUUGAGGGUCGGAGAGGAAAGGGGAAUUCCCAGUGUAGCGGUGAAAUGCGUAGAGAUUGGGAGGAACACCGGUGGCGAAGGCGGCUUUCUGGACGAUAACUGACGCUGAGGCGCGAAAGCGUGGGGAGCAAACAGG